GGAGAGAGAGACUGAGGGGAGGAGAGAGAGAGGGGAGGGGGGCAGGGGGGAAAGUGGUCCGGGGGACCACUUUUUAGUCCAUUUAGUCCAUUUUAGCUACCCAAGUGACUAAAUGAUUAGAGGGGGGCUAAAGUUUAGCCCACAAGAUUUAGCUAGGGUGUUUGGGAAGCUUGGGGGCUAAAAUGAACUAAAGUGGGGGUGCUAAAGUUUAGC
RNAcentral lists this long non-coding RNA (213 nucleotides) under Setaria viridis. RNAcentral's name for it is "long non-coding RNA (SVIR_LNC005934)". The record is from RNAcentral. Lineage: Eukaryota; Viridiplantae; Streptophyta; Magnoliopsida; Poales; Poaceae.